Molecule: non-coding RNA, 12026 nt
Organism: Oncorhynchus mykiss (rainbow trout)
Lineage: Eukaryota; Metazoa; Chordata; Actinopteri; Salmoniformes; Salmonidae
Source: RefSeq, a predicted model, not a curated record
CAUGUGUCAUCUAAAAAGGGGGGUGGGGGACAGUGCAGAAGGUGACGCUCCUCCAAGCAAACAGAGAGACAGAAACGUGCGCGCGAAGAAAUAGGGAGAGGAGUUGUCUACAGGCUAUAAAAUAUCUCCAUUGUGACAUUGGGAGGAGGAGAUCUAGAAAGAAUUGAAUGGUAGCUACACCCUGCGCGUAGAAGCGUAGAGUCACUAUAGGGAAGACUGGGAAUAAUUUUUUUGGCAAUAACAGAGGUGGGAGAGGGGCAUCGAAACCGAGAAAAAAAAUAGCCUGAGACAGUUUCUGUGUAAAUUCUGAUUCGUUGAAUGCGUGAGAGUAAUGUAUUGUCGUCAGCAUGAUCUUAGGUAGAAGUAAUAAGCGACAAUAACGAUAACUAAACGUAAUUUUCAACAACAGACACUCCUAUUUUGUCUUAUUAUUAUUAUUCGGAAAGAGACCCUGUCAUCUGAAAGCCGACAGGACACUGCAUGGAUAUUUUCUCUCAAAGCAUACAAAAAAAAAAAAACGACCUUACAAAGAAAACUACAUUUUGAUUGAUCUUGUGAGUUAAUGUGCGUGAUCUUGCACGCACGCACGCACACGAAACGAACCCGAAACAAAAGCAAACUCCUCCUCCCUCCGUUUUCUCUCCUCCUCUCCCUCCCCCAGUUCUUCUAUGCUCAGUUCGGUCUGCGUCUCCUCUUUCAAAGGGCGCAAGGGUGGGAACAAGUCAUCCAACAAAGCAUGUUACACUGCAGACAUGACUUGUCCGUCGGAAAGCGAGAAAAUCGUGAUCAACUGCGGGGGGGUGCGGCAUGAAACCUAUCGAAGCACCCUAAAAACGUUGCCCGGUACCCGCUUAUCUUGGCUUACCGAACCGGACGCCUUUAGCAACUUCGAUUACGACCACAAAAACGACGAGUUCUUCUUCGAUCGCCACCCAUCCGUCUUUUCAUUCAUCCUCAACUAUUACCGCACAGGGAAGUUGCACUGUCCGAACGAUGUGUGCGGCCCACUGUUCGAAGAGGAGCUGGCAUUCUGGGGCAUCGAUGAGACGGACGUGGAGGCUUGUUGCUGGAUGAAUUACCGGCAACACAGGGACGCAGAGGAGGCGUUGGACAGCUUUGAGAAUCCCGAACCGGAGUUGCCAGAAGACGACCCAGCUCUACCAGGAGGCGCAGAUGGGGACAUGAAAAGACUGUGCUUGCAUGAGGACGGAAGGAAAAAGACUUGGUGGGAAAUCUGGCGGCCCAGAAUGUGGGCCCUUUUUGAAGACCCUUAUUCCUCUAAAUACGCCCGGUACUGCGCAUUCCUCUCCCUUCUGUUCAUCCUCAUCUCCAUCUCCACCUUCUGCAUGGAGACGCACGAGGCCUUCAACACCAUCUACAACAAGACGGAGAACGUGACGGAGGGAAACGUGACGCGCGAGGUGAUUGUCUAUGAGGUGGUGACCGACAGCUGGCUUACGUACGUGGAGGGCAUGUGCGUCAUCUGGUUCACCAUUGAGGUGAUGGCACGCGUGGUCUUCUGCCCGGACAAGGUCGAGUUCUUCAGGAGCACCCUCAACAUCAUCGACUUCAUUGCCAUCAUGCCUUUCUACCUGGAGGUGGGGCUGAGCGGCCUGUCCUCCAAAGCCGCCAAGGACGUGUUGGGCUUCCUGCGCGUGGUCCGUUUCGUUCGCAUCCUGCGUAUCUUCAAGCUGACCCGCCACUUUGUGGGGCUUCGCGUCCUGGGCCACACGCUCCGUGCCAGCACCAACGAGUUCCUCCUGCUCAUCAUCUUCCUCGCUCUCGGAGUACUCAUCUUCGCCACCAUGAUCUACUACGCCGAGCGCAUCGGCGCCGACCCUGAUGACCCUACGGCUGCCAAACACACAAACUUCAAGAAUAUCCCCAUUGGUUUCUGGUGGGCCGUGGUCACCAUGACCACUCUGGGCUACGGGGACAUGUACCCCGAAACGUGGUCGGGGAUGCUGGUGGGUGCGCUGUGCGCCCUGGCAGGGGUGCUGACCAUCGCCAUGCCUGUGCCCGUCAUCGUCAACAACUUUGGCAUGUACUACUCACUGGCCAUGGCCAAGCAGAAGCUUCCCAAAAAGAAGGGCAAGCACAUCCCCCGGCCCACCAUGCCGGGCUCGCCCAACUACUGCAAGCCUGACGCUCUCGCUAUGGCCACCGCCUCGCCCCAUAGGAUCCUGGGUAAUGUACUCGGCGAGGUGAUCGGGUCUGGAGGCUUCGACUGCCCCCUUGCUCAAGAGGAGAUCAUAGAAAUCAACCGAGAUUCCAAGCAGAACGGCGACGCGGCCACUGCUGCCCUGGCGAACGAGGACUGCCCUACUAUCGACCAGGUGCUGAGCCCGGACGAGCGGAGUCCCGCGGGGCGAGGGGGCACCGGAGUAACCCGGGAACGCUACCAGCAGGACCGCGCUUGCUUCCUGCUCAACACCAGGGAAUUCCGCGCCACAGAUGGGAAUGUGCGGAAAGGUUGUGUCAUAUCACGCGUUUGUAUGUGGGCUUUUUCAUUCUUACACGUUACACUGUGUCUCUGUCCGACUCUCAAUGCCGCCCGAGUGUUGUGUUUGUGUUGUUGUCGUGUGUGGCUUUUACUGUGUUCUUUUUUCUGUCACUGGUGCCCUCUCUACCUCACUGACAUUCACCCUGACAGAUAGCAAAAGACACAUCGUCUAUGCACCGGAGCGAAAUUUCCCAUCUCACAGAUUUCUAUCAUGAUAUGAUAUGUACAUAUUCUAGCUAUAUUUAGGGCUUACAUAAUGGAUGAUUUUGAAUGCGAUGUUGUACAGCGGCCAUCUUUGGGUCAAAGGUCAGUGGGGUCAGCGGAGCCUCCAUGGUCACGGGAAUAGUACCUUACGAUACAUGCCGUGGCGGGAACAACAUUUUCAGCCAUAUCAUCAUAUGGCUCUCCUCAACAUUGUACAGUCCUCACAUUGACAGACAAAUGCGACAAACUAACAUCCAUGCAAUGCUGAUUGACGAAAAUGUGUAUCUUAAGUGUGUCGUGUUUCGAAAACACUAUUCCCUAGACCUCAAAAUGUGUGCUUUCAGUGCCUAGUGUAGUUAAAAAGGUCAGACGGGACUUCUUGGCUGUACUGUAGUGACCUGAGUGCACUCUGUCCCCAUAGGUUAACCCUUUGAAGAACCCUUUUUGGUUCCAGGUAGAACCCUUUCCACAGAUGGUUGUACAUGGAAUCCAAAAGUGUUCCCCUUUGGGGACAGCCGAAGAACCCUUUUGGAACCCUUUUUUUCUAAGAGUGUAGUUAGCUGCAUUUGUACAGUUAACUGCACUUGGUGAAUGAAAGAAACACCGAAAUACUGACUCACUGACUGAUGCCGACUUCACACUGCCAGACAGACACUAUGACAGACUGAUUGACCGACAACUGGCUACAUGCCAUCUAAGGUAAGCGAGCCUUGAGCUGUUGAACUCCUCUCUUGGAAGCCCCGGACUGCUUCGGUGUUGUGUGUUUUCAACGGUUCUUUUUUGUGCAUAAAACCUCAACUCAAUUCCGCAAAUCCCUCUUUAAAACCAAAACGGAGGCCAUUUUAAGCAGGAAGCCAGAAGCACUAGAGGUUUCAUAGGAUGACAUUCGGUGUUUACUGAAUGAAUCCUCCUCUCGUUAUCACGGUACAAGCGUUUGGUGGGGGGAAAGCUAUAAACCUUUAACUCCCAGAACAUUUAACGAUAUUUGUGCCAAUUCUACAUGCCAACCUUCAGCUCUCAGCAUUGCUGAAAAUAUUGGUAUCAGUAGGGGGACUCGAGGAUCACAGAAACUUGACUUCCCUCUGUAACCUGAAACGUGUAACAUUUGAUAGUAACGGAAUAACGUUGCAUCCGUGUGAAGCUGAACUAAAAAUAGAAUACCUCCGAGCAGCAUUGCCAUUCAAUCUCAUAUUGACCAAAAAUCUAAUUGAAUGCCAAGUGGAUAGGAAUAAGGUGAAGAAACCCAAAGGGAACACUGUAAAAUCACCGGAGGUUUGAUGGCCAUAAUUGCCCCAGCUGAAAGUAAUAAUGGCUUAACGAUGUGUUCCCUUUUUUUGUUUUAAAGUGGGAUUCCCUAUUGUGCUCUCAAACUGGUGUUGUGUGCUUUUCCCACAGUCUCGUUCUUAGAUCUCUGUAUGUGCAGUCCUUAAGUUAUUUCUGUAGUAUUUUAAGUCUCCCUACAAGAUAAGUGUCCGUUUGACCUCCUUCGCCCGAAAUGCAAUAUGCAGGGUUCAAAAAAGGUCAAAGGGUCAAUUACCUCUUUGAUUGCUCACUCGCAGUCAUUCCCUUUCCCCCUCAAUACUGUCCUCUCAUCUGUUCUUUUUUUCUUAUUUUUCUUAUUUUUUCUUUCUUUCUCUUUACCCUCUCCCUCACUCUCUGUGUAUGUUUCUGUGUCUAUGGCCAUGUUCAAAAUCUCUCUUGCCUAACUACUUACUAAAACUGCACACUGUAUACUAAUCGUACUACAUACAGUACUGUUUAGACAUGCUGUCAAAAACGAAUGCAGUAAGCAACAGCUAUCAACAUAUUAGGCUCAUCCAUACUGAGAAGAGGUCUUCUAAUGUGCAACCUCGCUUGUUCCCCACCACGCGUUCAUUUCGGUACAGCGCGUCCCCUUAUCGAAUGAUCAACUGUUGUCGAAAGUGGUCUGAAAAGCUGAUUCUCUUCCACAGUAGUGUGCAUUGAACGCUACUAAAAUCUAGUAGCUAGAUGAAAAGUUGAUGUGAGUGGUACAUCCUGGCAUUCAGGGCAUACUACAUUUUUGAAAUUUCACAUACUAUAAAAUGUCCUAUUUUCGGAUACCCAAAUAGCCUAAUAUUUAGAAUGCAAGAAUGGAUAUUUAGACAUGGCCUAUAUGUGUGUGUAUUAAUAUGUGUUUUGUGUAUGUGUAUUGUUUUGUGUGUCUCUCUUUGAGAUUUCUGUUCAUCUUAAUUUCUCUAGAUUCUAUUAGUUGAUUUUGUUGUGUAUGUUUAAUGUCUGUUUGUCAAGGACCAUUGUCAAUCAGAGUUCCCUCUGUAACCUGAAACGUGUAACAUUUAAUAGUAACGGGAUACCAUGGCAUCCGUGUGAAGCUGAUUUGAGUCAUUUGAGUCUGUUUCCGUUGUUUCCGUGUCAAGUGUGUAAUGUUGUCAGUUACUUUGUCUCUACAUGUCUCUCUCUACAUGUCUCUCUACAUGUUGGUGUGCUUUGUAGUCUGUUUGUCUUUAGUCAGACUGUCUAUCUACCUUUCCUCCUUUCAAUCUUCCCAUCACCUAUGCUUAUUUUUAAUAAUUGGGAUCAUUAUAUUAAAUUAAAUGCAUAAAUGAAUAAUACAUAUGUAUUUUUAUUUGAAAAAAUAAAAAAAAUAAAAAUAAUACAACAAAUAUUUUAACAAGUUACAUCCACAGUGUGGAUUUGAUUGUAUUUCAGUCUUAAUUUCAAUUGAAAUGAAUUAAGUAAUCAAAAAACCUUUGACCUUCAGAAAAUACAUUUACAAUAAGGUUACAUUUAGGCACCAUUGACUUAUUGCAUAAACAUUUGUCUUAAACUAAAUCAAAAAAUGUUCUUUGGAAAAGAAAAGCUGUCAAAUCAUUUGCAUACAGGAAAAUCUGGUCAUAAUGGACACAGUGGAUGGAUGGGUAAGAGACACAUUCAAUACCAUGUGUAGGUCCAACGGCUAAUAUGGGCACAAUCAGAAUGUGGACAAGAUCAGGACAAAGGACACGUUAGCACCAGGCCGCCAGUGCAGUGCAAGUGUAACUAAAGUCUGACUGUAGUGUUAAGUUUCUAGCAAUUUCUCUGAUGAAGACAUACUGAGUCAGUUAAUCAGAAAUGAGCGGAGGGAGCCACUUUAACCAAGACGUGUGACACGGAUGGACAGUUAAAAGGCAUAUCUUUGGCGUGACGAGAGAGAGAGAGAGAGACCAGAGGGAGAUCAAGAUAAACAUGAGGUUGGAUCUUUACGUUGUUACCAAAGCAGCCUCUUGGAAACUCCGGCCACACUUUUGAAGACUGUCUGACAGAUCACAAUGACGACUGACUGAGCAUUGCACUGACACACUCAGAGAGAAAAGGACUCCUACUGCAACAUUCCAGAAGACAUUAUAUUGUGACGCUCAACCAUCUCACAGUACAGUGACCAAUAACCGACUGCAGUGCUGAUCUACUGAGAAACUUAGAGAGUCAAUUAUUUAUCACUCACCUAUAAACGAGCGACCAGGUCUAACUAACUAUGUAGCAUCUCUGCUAACACUGUAGCAUUUGUUAGCUGGGAAAAUAACGUCAUGACCUUAUCCAUUGACAGUUUUGAACAGAGUGAUGCGGAAAGACGCACUAAAUGAAAACUUUACACGCCGUUUUCCUCUUGUGUUAUUUCCUUUUACAAGAAACUAUUGUACAUGAGAGACAAAGACAAGUUGCCCUCGAACUAUUCUUUAAAAAAAAAAAAAAAAAAUGUGUGACAGCAACUGAACCAGUUGCAGGUUAAAUGAAUCUGAGAACUGAAUUUGGACGUUUGAUAAUAUAUCUGUUCUCCCACCUCAUGGAGGAGUUCAUGACUUGUAGAAGUUAAGCCUUUACGUCCCCCAUUAAUUUCCAUCCAAUCUGGAAAGACGAUGCCAGGCCCUCAACAUAGUGUACUACGUACAUAUGAUAUAAGUACUACGUACAUAUGAUAUAAGUACUACGUACAUAUGAUAGAAGUACUACGUACAUAUGAUAGAAGUACAUAGAUGACCAUACCAAAAUGGAUGUAGCAUCAACAGAGGACCAAUUAGUACUAUAUCCCCCCCCCCCCCUGCAAAAUAAUUAUUGGUGAACAAGACUCUCUCUGUCUCUCACGUACUGACUUUGAAAUCCACGUGGCAUACUGUACCAAAGGUCCUAUGCAUGCACUUGCUGUAUGACUUGCCUAUAAAGUAACAACAGUACGGGCUGCUAUGGGAUGAACAUUCCAUAUAUCUAGUGCAAAGCUUUGAACUGCCCUUGACACCUUCAUUAUCGCCUCGCUUUGGUACAAACGUGCAAACUGGAAAUGCCACUCGUGUGUGUGUAUAUAACAGAGGUAAUUCCUGAGUAUAUUUUAAAACAUAUUUAAUUGAAUUAUAUUUAUUACAAUUACAUUCCUCUUGAACAAAAAAAAAAAAGACUUCAUGAACGUAUGAGUAUGACAGACACUGGUAUCGGUUUACUAUAAAUUGACUAACUUACCUGCUGCUCAAAUCAAUCAUGAGUAGAGCACAGACUGACUAAAGGUCAAGUCCCAUGCACAGACCUGCCAACAGGAGGAACAAGGUUCUAACUUAAAUACAGCACAGAGGAGGCCUCCAUAAUAAGGAUACCUUGAAGUCACAUCAAAGUGUAUUCGGUGGGGGAAAAAGUUCUCUGCUGUGGUUUUUACAAACAUGCACAUAAUACUAUUAUUAUUAUAUCAGAUGCAUAUAUACUGCCAAUGAGGAAAAUACGUCCCCUUAUGCUUAUACUGCCCCCCCCCCCCUCCCCAGACGCAUAUACUUCCCUCAUCUCUCUCUUGUUUCCCUUGCUGCCAAGCAAUGACCAAUGACUGCUUCAGGGUUAAGUCAAGCCUCCAACAAGAUAGCGAUGCCCUCCAAAUGAGACCAUUAAUAAAGUAAAACGGAGGAGAAAUGGACCAAGGAAGUAAAAAGGGGGGACGUGUACAAAGAGAACAAAUCUAUAUUUUGAUAAACAAAUCAGCUAUCCAUGGCUUCAGACGGAGAAGGAGCACCAACUGAAAACAGGGUCAAAAAUGCCAUUGGGAAAAGCAGUUGCAAACGUCUGUGAAUAUCAUGAAAACCUAUAUCGGAACUGGUUUGGCAAAAAAAGAAAGAGAAAAGUAGAGGAAUAAUAACAUAUGAGAAUGACGUUUUUGGAAGGUUGGUGUGGUGGUUUGACAUGAGCGACUGUGUUACAACAAUAAAGAGAAUAAUGGAGAGAGUCACAUGAGUGAGAGAAAGCUAUGGGGACGGCCCGGAGUGGGUGGGGCCCGGAGUGGGGACGGCCCGGAGUGGGUGGGGCCCGGAGUGGGGACGGCCCGGAGUGGGUGGGGCCCGGAGUAGGGAUGGCCCGAAGUGGGUGGGGCCCGGAGUAGGUGGACGCUGUACUAAACAAUGAAGAAGGAAAAAAAAGAAAAUGCAUUUUUGUGACUUUGUUUACCAGCAUGACUACCCUGCAUGACUGUCUUUUCUGCAAGCCCUUUGUUGAAGACAAGGCUGCUAGAGAUACAACAAAAAAAACACAUAUAUAAAAGGAAUUAUUAAAAAAAUGUUAUAUGCAAUUAAUAUAUAUGAAAAAAAGAUUAUAAUGAAAGAGAAGAGCUAUAUUUUGUUUUGAAAAAGUAAAAAAUGUGAAAAUUGAAACAUGUAUGUUUGCAAAAUACACACUGAACAAUGUUUUGUUAGAUGAAAUCUCUCUGCUACUACUGCCCCACAUUCAUUCAUUCCAUUUUAUUGACCUCUGCAGUACCGUCUGCUUUUAUUAAGCCGUACUUAAGUGUUUGUUGCUUCUUGUUUCAUUUUUGUUUUUCAUUCUAGCCAGUUAUAAUUCUAUCUAAAAUGAGCAUUUAAGGGUUAAUUUCACUCUUCAUUUUUGAGAAGUGAUCUUAGCCCUUUUCAUCGAUUCAAAAACUCAACGUUUCCCUUCCUUGAAUCAUUUUCACCACCACUGUAGCAGCCAUUUUAAAUCGAUAGCGCUCCAUACUGUAUGUUUGAAGGGUGUAUACAUUACAAAUAUUCAAUGUUUGCUUUUAGUUGUUGUUGAGAAUAAUAGACAAUUUGUCAAAUGAUUGUAGCAGGGCAAAUUGAUACCAAUGCCCGUUUGGAGAAGUUUGUAACAGGUUGUUAUUGGAAGUGGCUGGGUGGUUAUGUUCUGGGGAAGGCAGUCUUCUUCCAUCAGUCCUCAGGGGAGAGACGGUGAAAAGGGGGUUAGGCCGGGAUUUAAUCUGAUCAGCGGUAGAUCCGUGUUAUAGUCUGCUUGAGAGUUAAAGGUAAUUUCCAAUUGAGCCGUGAACGCGGUCUCCGCGAACGUGGGAACGUGGCCUUUAAAAGGUGCAUAGCUGACAACGUGCGAUUGGAUUGAAUCACAGACUUGGGCCCGGGGUUCAAACGAAUGCAGAUGAAUGACCUGUGCACUGCGAUUGAUUUUUAAAGGCGAUUUAAACUGUUUGAGUCGACAUCUGUGGCUUUUGCAGCGAACAUUAUCCGUGUCUUUUGAAGUCAAUUGCUGUGCUGGAUUGAAUCCAGGGCCUUCGUUAGUUAUCCAAUAAAGUGCAAUAUCUGUUCAUGAGAGAGAGAGAGAGAGAGAGAGAGAGAGAGAGAGAGAGAGAGGUCAAGAGAGAUUUGUUACUAGUCGAGAGAUUUCAGGUUUGCAUGAAACAAACUGCCAUUCCAAAGUUGUGUCUGUUUUAAAAGAGACUCAGGUGUGUCGGUGGUUUGUGUGGAUUUAGGUGGUUUGCUAUUUUCCGUAUAUAAUGAAUUCUAGUAUAUAGAUAAAAUAAUGUGAACACCUUACAGUGACGUGAAACGCAUGCAUUGUGACUUGAUUGUCGAUCUCCUGAGGGAACGCGGUCUCGCCAUAUCCCAGGCUCCUUUGUUGUGUGUCAUGAAACCAGUCCGGAUGUUAUGAACACUGUGCCGUGUCGUAGAGCAGCAACGUCUUCCUCGGAGAGACAACUGAACACUACACACACUCUCAGUGUCAGCAUGGGUGUGUAGAGGUAGCUUGUCCUUGUUGUUAGGUGGUCAGGUCUUGCAUUCGUUCGUCAUCCAUUCGAGAACCAUCCAGCUGAUAGUCGUCGACGGGCAGCAGCUCACGGUAGCAUACGUAAUGUUAUAACACGCUUCAUACACGUUAUAACAUGUUAUAUCACACUUCAUACAAAGACCCAGAGCUUCCAAACUGAUGUCAUUGAAGUACUUUAAAAUGGAGGGGUGAGAUUGAAAGAACCAGUGGCCACUACUGUGCAAGUUGGGUAGGUGUAGAAAUGUGUAUUUCACUAGAGUUCCCCACUGUUGAACAGGUUGGGUGAAUGUUGGUUUUCCAGACACUAUCUUUAAUAACAGUGGCUUUCUCUUAAGGGUGUAAGCCCUGGCAGGUCCAGGAUCAGCCCAGGCAGCUGUAAAAAAAAAAAAAAAAAAAAGUACCUCUGUCCAUCCCUAAUCAUGCAAUCUAAUUGGACUAUGACCACUAGACUUAAAUGAAUGAACUACAGAGUCUACUCACGUAUUUAGUUCAAUCUAUGUUGGUUUCUACAGGGUCUACAAAGUUGUCCACUUUCCCGCGAAAAUUGGUCCAUGAUAUUUUUCUUCUUCCUCAAUGUGUUUUGUUCACCUUUUCCUUUCAAACUAUGAUUUCAGGAUUUUUUUUUUAGAAGGCAUUAAGCCACUUAGGCUCUGGGGGUCGCGAACUGUAGUGUUGAUAAAUAUUCCAGGGGUAAACUUCCAGUAACCACGGUUCGUGAACUGAACACACUCGCAAAUUCCCAAGAAUUUGAGAUAUUUUUGGGGUGGUUAUGUUUUAAUAUAGCACAGUAUUGUUAAUACUUUCUCUGUUAUUGACUGAUGAGUAUUACCUUCCUUUAUUAUUAUUAUUAUUAUUAUUAUAUAUAUAAAAAAUACAUGUGACUGCCCACUUCAGGCUAAAAACAAGAUGUCUUUUUUUUUCUCGUUUUCUAUUGCACAAUACUGCUAUUUGAUUUAACAAUGUUGAACACAAUGGGUUACAGUGUUAAGAGUGCUAAGUCUGUUUUAUGUUCCAUUUACAAAAUGCCUUUUUUUUUUUUACAACCAAGGGAUAUACGUAGAUAUGGACUUCACAACCAAUCCUCAACAACAGCUACUGUAGAUGACACAUUAUGUGAGAUUCACCCACACCCUGCAGUUAAGUGACUUUAACAUAUCCACUCAUGGUAUUAUGAAGUCCUUAUUUAUCCUCACCGACCCUUUUUGUAUACCUGGAUGAUCUAUCUACAGUCAAUGCAUUCUCUGAUUUCCGUUUGUUCUCAUUUUGAAUUGAAGGUUCACUGUAAAUACCACUGGUACUAUUUAUGUACUAUCAACAAUUUUUUUGUGUGAUAGAAACCAGAGACAACUAUGCGGUUUAACUACUUGUAUGGGUAUACUAUGGGUAAGGAUAAAUACAUUGCCAAGCUAGUUUAGAGUUGCAAGUUGUCCCUAAGAAAACAAACAACUAACUCUUACCCUAAUGCAGUUGUAUUACCUCAACACAUAGUAUAAUGACAGACAGAGAAACAUAGAUAUACCUAUUGAACCUAUUGUAUCAUAACCAUAUGGAUAUAUACAGACACAACUUAAAGGCAAAUACAGUAACACAUUAUAAUAACUCAUGAACAAGCCAUUAGAAAUGAUGAUACAUGUUACUGAAAUGCUUGCAAAUCAAAAAUAAUUAAAAAAACGUGUUUAUUAAUAGUAUGUAUACUUCUUACAUAGUUGAAUGCGUAUACUUGAAAGUUGUUAUUAAGGGUCACCACAAACUCAUUAAAGACAUAUUAUUACCUGUGGACCCUCAGUUCACGCAUGGCCUUGAGUUGAAAUAUCGACAGACACAUGUAAACCUAGUCAUCAGCAUUCCAAAGACAAAAUGUAUCUCAUUUUUUUCACAACACUUUGUAAAAACAGACUUAGGUGUUAUUGUUUGCUGCCAUGGUAGGAGAACGAAUAGGAGAAAAGAAGUGGUCACUGAAACACAUGGUCGAGACUAAUGCUGUAUUUUAUUUUUGAAAUGUUGGAAACACAAAAGUAUUAUUCAUCAAGAAACUGUAUAAAGUAUAUUUAUUUCGAUGGAAUGUUCAUGAUCUAUCUUUUUAUAUUUUGGAGAAAAAAACAGAAACAUAUCAAUAAAGUAUCAUAAUUGCACAUCGUUUCGACUAUUGAGACUUAAAAUGUAUGAAUGUCAAUGCGAUCUAAUGUGAACGGAAAUCUCCUUAGCAGCUUGAACGAAUAAAUGAUUAAAGUCAUGAACUGCUUUUUCAAAGACACUCAAUUGCUUCAAAUCAUUGAAAUGAACUUCAAAUAAAUGAAAAACAUUU